RNAcentral lists this unclassified non-coding RNA (422 nucleotides) under fungal sp. Its description in RNAcentral is "partial internal transcribed spacer region". The stretch from base 1 to 46 matches the Rfam family "Eukaryotic small subunit ribosomal RNA", at positions 1786 to 1831 of the family's 1831-position model. The record is from RNAcentral. Lineage: Eukaryota; Fungi.
AAGUCGUAACAAGGUUUCCGUAGGUGAACCUGCGGAAGGAUCAUUAACACUACUUUCUAUCUUAUAAACAUCCGAGAACCGUUGAGAGUGCCACCCGGCUGAGAUCGCUAGGCAAUGGUAUGGAUUCCGAGAGUCUGCCACAACGGACCGACGGAUUGGCCUGCGGUUACGAACACGCGUCUGCUGCUCACUUCUCAUUCGUGGGAAGCGAUGCCGGGCGCGUGAGUCCAACUCUGACCCGAUGGCCUAAUUACAGCCUCUUACCAUGGCUGGCCCUUUUUUUUUCUUUAACCUGAACAACGUACUGAUUUCUAGUCUUGGAUUCUGAGAGCCUCACGGCUUUCUCUGGGGCUAAACCUUCUGAGCUCUCUUCGGAGGCUCUGAAACAAACACAACUCUUAACAGCGGAUAUCUCGGUUCUC